RNAcentral lists this ribosomal RNA (377 nucleotides) under uncultured bacterium. RNAcentral's name for it is "bacterial SSU rRNA". It matches the Rfam family "Bacterial small subunit ribosomal RNA", at positions 790 to 1167 of the family's 1533-position model. The record is from RNAcentral.
GUAGUCCACGCCCUAAACGAUGUCAACUAGCUGUUGGGGGUUUGAAUCCUUAGUAGCGAAGCGAACGCGAGAAGUUGACCGCCUGGGGAGUACGGCCGCAAGGUUAAAACUCAAAGGAAUUGACGGGGACCCGCACAAGCGGUGGAUGAUGUGGAUUAAUUCGAUGCAACGCGAAAAACCUUACCUGGUCUUGACAUGUAACGGAGGCGGAAGAGAUUCUGCGGUGCCCGCAAGGGAGCGUUAACACAGGUGCUGCAUGGCUGUCGUCAGCUCGUGUCGUGAGAUGUUGGGUUAAGUCCCGCAACGAGCGCAACCCUUGCCCUUAUUUGCCAUCCUGAGAAGGGGCACUCUAAUGGGACUGCCGGUGACAAGCCGGA